RNAcentral lists this long non-coding RNA (9784 nucleotides) under Olea europaea (common olive). RNAcentral's name for it is "long non-coding RNA (OEUR_LNC014914)". The record is from RNAcentral. Lineage: Eukaryota; Viridiplantae; Streptophyta; Magnoliopsida; Lamiales; Oleaceae.
GCCUCUAUAUUUAUAGGCAAGAUUAUUACAUAUUUAUGCUAAUACUAGGAAAUUGACAUUAGGAAACUAAUAAGAUCUAGUCUAUUUAAAAAUCCUAUUCUAAUCAAUAAAGAAACUAUAUUCCUAAUUAAAUAGAGGAUAAAAAUCCUAUCACAACUAUACUUAGAAAAGAUACACACAACGAGAAAAAGUUAUAAAUAAAAACAAGUUUCCUAGUGGGAAAUAACAUUCUUUCCUUUCCUAAUAGAUUUUGGACUUUCUUUUGAUAUUGUCCUGCAUUAGUUUUAUAUAGCCAAAAUAGGUAUCAUAUCACCGAAAUAGAUAAAUGCAUCCAUGGUAAGAGAAUACUCAUUGGAAAAUAGAGAUUGACUUCAAUAACUGAUUAUAACUUCCCAAGGAUGAUGUUUUGGGAUGCCCGUACUGAACCUCCAUCUUCGAUGAUUAUAGAAGUAACGGACCUACAUUUUCAUUUUUGUCACAAAUUAUGGAUAUCAUUUGACUGCUAUGCAUGAGUAGUCCUCUCAAGUGAAUUUGAGAUAUUAUUUUGUUCUCAGGUGUUGUUGGUUUUGUCAAAUUUAUUCAAUAAGACUCAAUACCUCUAUAUGAGAGCUUCUCUCAUUGUAUAAGAAAUGUGAUCCAUUUAGGGUACAUUUUUAUAUGGAUAAAAAUAAUUAUUGUUCUGUAGACAGGUAGCCAUUCCAUGUAUGUGGGAAUCAAGCAUCGUAAGAAUGGGUUGGAUGAGCUAAACGCCCCAUAACAAGGACAGUGAACCCUCCUAUCAGCCUCAAAGAAAGAUGAAUAAGCAAACAAGAAAACAAAAGCAAGAACACCAUUAUGACAUAGGCAAUAGUUAACGGGACAUAAUGACCUUAUAAGGUCAGAAUGACUAUGGCAGCAACAAUUUGGAGCAAAUAAUACAAGCUUUCUUUAAUAAACACAUCAAAGCUUUGCUCAAUAUUUUCACUAACAAAAAAAUCAUUUUUUAAAGAAAAAAUGUAAUAUGAAACUUAUUAAAAAUACAUGGUAUUCGUUCACAUCCUUUUUCCGAGAGAGGGAGAGAGAUAAGAGGCACGUUUUUGUUGGUUUGGGAGGUGAAACCAUAAGAAAGCCGUACAAUUUUAUUUCUUCUGCAAUGCCUUCUCAGAGCCAAUUUUGUCAAAUGUGUGAAGAUUCAUAAUACUGCAACUCAAGUAGCUAUGGACAAAGCUUAGUGUACUUGUGACUAACAAAGAUAUUACAAGUAAAUUACAUGUUAGCAAAAUGUAGGAAUCAAACACCGAACAAAAUUACUUAUUAGCGAAGAGGAGACGAAAAUUCAGUAUGCAUGUGUGGAGUAUUGGGUCAAUCUGAUUAUAUAUGAGAGAAUAAAGCUACUUUAAUAUUCAUUUUGCACAUCUUUGUUGACCUUCCAUGAUAUGUAAAAAAAUUUAGAUAUUGAUUUGAGCAAGUAUUAUUCAAAAUACGAAAACUGUUGACCUAAUGGUUGACUUCUUGUUUUGAUUAUUACAAAUAAAUUGUGUUUGAUUCUAACAAAUUGAAUUUAAGUGAUUGAUAGUGAUUAUUGUAAAUUUAUGACACGAAAGAUUUAGAUUGGGAAUCAUGCAACCUUGGCGCAAAACGAUAUACACACAAGAUUUACGAACAAGGAAAUGGAAAAUGAGCUUUCAAGCACCAAAUUGCAUUGGAUGAAGAAAUUGAAGACAUUAGUUCUAGAUGCAUUUGUAUACUCAAGUGUAAAGGUAAAACUCUUUAACAUUUCACAUCGAUUAUAGCUCAAACAAUUUUUAUGCACGGAAAUUAUCAUAACAAACUUUACUUGCAUAAAAAUCAUUUUCAAAAGAUAAGUAAUUUGAUUUUCACAAUUAAACAUUUAUGAAAUUACUUAUCUAUAUGAAAUAUAUAAGGAAACCGUUCAAAUACCUUAAAGGAAUUUUUCACGAAAAAGGAAAAUUUGAUGGGAAAAUAAAAGGCUCACCCGGACGUCCGGAUGAGAUGUCCAACGGUCACAUUUUUUAACCGUUUGGCAAACACCUAGUUAAUCGUCCGGAUAACAAGCGAACGUCCGAAUCGCUUGUCCGGAUCUCCUGAUUGAUGGCUAUAAAUACCUCUCUUUAUACCUCUUUUAAGGCGAGUUUUUUACAACAUUAAAGAAAGUUAUUUAUUGAUCUUGUCUACCUUGUUUUUCAAUCUUUAAGAGAUCAAAUUAUUUAUUUGUUGAAAAACUUUUUGAGUGGGUAACUUUUUGAAAAAUCAUAUAUCUCAAUAAAAGUUUUUUCCACAACACUUGAGCUAUAUUCUUUAUGAUUUAUUGAAGUGAUUGUGCCUAAUUCUCUCUCAAUAUUUAGUUGUGUUCAUACCAUUUGUUAAGAGAGAAACAUUUCAAUUCUAACUUUGAUUUUCUUGUGGGUCGAGUUAAGGUCCCAGAAAGCUCAACGUAUAAAAGGAUCGGUGCUCCUUAAUUACAAGUCAUCGGAAGCAUUGUAAGGGUUGGAUUGCACCAUAAGUCAAUCAAAGAUAGUGAAAAAGGUCUUGCUCGUGACGGAGAGUUUGGUAACGGGGGACGUAGAUCGUGAUUGGAUCGAACCUCCUUAUUACAUCGUUUGCAGUCCCCUUUCCCUUCCUCUUAUUAUUUUUGUGUUGUCUUGUUUAUUCAUAAUUAUUUGCUUAAAUUUGCGUUUAUUUUAGAAAAAGUUUCAAAUAACCAAUUCACCCCCCCUCUCUUGGUUAGUUAUUAUUGGGCUUUCAAUUGACAGAGCUUGAUACUCUCUUUUUUUUUUUUAUUCUACAAUUUAAGUUAUGGUUAACCAAGUUUUUCAAAAUAGUGAGGGGCACUCUACAAAACGGCCUCCUUUCUUUAAUGGUACACAUUAUAAUUAUUGGAAAGCUAGGAUGAUGAUUUAUGUUCAAUCUAUGGAUUACAAUAUUUGGGAAGUUAUAGAAUAUGGUCCAUAUGCUCCUAAUAAAACUAUUAAAGUAGAUGGUAGACCGGACCAAACUCUCCCCAAAUCUAGAGAAGAAUACGAUGAUGAAGAUAAGAGAAAACUAUCAUUACAUGCCAAGGCUAAAAAUCUACUUUAUUGUGCACUUGAUAGAAAUGAAUUUAAUCGAAUUAGUACAUGUGAUUCGGCAUAUGAUAUUUGGCAUGCUCUUGAAGUUACUCAUGUUGGCACAAAUAAAGUUAAGGAAACAAAGAUAAACAUGCUAGCUAAGGAAUUUGAAAAUUUCUUUAUGAAACAAAAUGAGCUUAUUGUUAACAUGAUUACUCGUUUUACCAAUAUUGUAAAUGUAUUAAAGGUUUUGAUCGUAAAUUUACGAACGGUGAACUUGUGAGUAAAAUGCUUAGGUCCUUAUAAGAGAAAUGGAAUCCACUGAGGAUGUUGAUUGAGAAUACUAAGGAUGUAAAUACAUAUCCUUUGGAGGAGCUAUACGGCACAUUAAUGACUUAUGAGCUAAACAAUGUCGAGGUUAAGGAGAAAACGAGAAAAAGCAAGGAGGAGUCAAAGGAGCCUCCUAAAAGACAAAUUGCGUUAAAAUCGACAAUUGAAGAAGGAACAUCAAAUGAAAAUAUGAACGAUGAAGAACUUGAUGAUUUGGUUCUUCUUGUCCAAAAAUGGAGAGAUUUUCGUAAUAAUCGAAGAUUUCAAAAGAAAGAAGAAAAAGUGGAAGAUAGGAACAAAAAGAUUGUUUGCUAUGAUUGUGAUAAGUCUGGUUACAAGAGAACUAAGUGUCCAAACAAAAAGAAAAAUCUCAAGAAAAAAGCACUCCAAGCUACAUGGGGUGAUAGCGACGACGAAAUACAAAAUGGGAAUGAUAAUCAAGAUGAAGUGGCAAAUAUGUGCUUCAUGGCAAUCGAAGACGAGGUAUGUUCUUAUGAUGAGCUUUCAAUUUCUUAUGAUGAAAUGCUUGAAAAUUUUGAAAAACUUGCUUUAAAUCACGCUGUUCUUAAAAAGAAAAACUUUAUUUUGAAUGAAGAAAUUAAGAAAAUCUCCGAAAAGCAAAAAGUGAGUUUUGAUCAGACCUUUUGAUAAAAGAAAACAUCUUUUUAAAAGAAAAGGUUAAUGAUUUAAUACAAAUUAUCCAUAAGUUUACCAAAAGUAAGAAAAAUUUUGAUUUAAUGCUCGGUAGUCAAAAGUGUGUUUUUGGUAAAGGAGGAAUUAGAUAUAAACCCUCUCUAAAACAAAAAUCACUCAAAAAUAUGUUUGUUAAGACUUCAAAUAUUUCAUGUAGCUUUUGUAAUAAAAAUGGACAUAUUGCUUUUAAUUGUGUAACUAAAAAGAAAUUAUUCUUUGAGAACAAAUACAAGUGGAUACAAGAAUCCACAAAACUAACUAUCAACGACCCAAAUUUGUGUGGGUACUAAUAUUCAAAACUUAAUUUGUCUUUGUAGGUACCAAAGAAAAUGAAAAGUAAAUGGUUCUUGGAUAGUGAAUGCUCGAAGCAUAUGACCGGUGAACGAUCAUUAUUUUCAAAUUUUUAAGAGAAUGAUGGAGGUCAUGUGACCUUUGGAGAUAAUGCCAAAGGUAAAAUAAUCGGCAUUGGAAACAUUGGUAACCACUCAUCCCCCUCUAUCGAAAAUGUUUUACUCGUUGAUAAUCUUAAACAUAAUUUGUUAAGCAUUAGUCAAUUAUGUGACAAAGGUUAUAACAUAAAAUUCGAUUCUUCCAAAUACCUUAUGAAGGAUGCUACAUCAAAAGAUGUAAUUUUUAUAGGAAGCCGAAGUAAAGAUGUUUAUAUUAUAAACAUUGAAUUGGAAAAUAACGAAAAAUAUUUAUUUAGCUUGAAAGAAGAAUCAUGGUUAUGGCAUAGAAGACUUGGACAUGUAAACAUGGAUCUUCUUUCAAAAAUUUAUAAAAAUUGUUUUGUAAAAGGUUUACCGAAUUUGAAAUUUGAAAAAGAUAAAAUUUGUGAUACUUGUCAAUUUGGAAAACAAGUAAAAAGCUCUUUCAAACCAAAACUUUAUACUUCAACCACAAAACCAUUACAACUUCUCCAUAUGGAUCUUUUUGGCCCGUCUAGGACGGCUAGCUUAGGAGGUAAACAUUAUACUUUUAUUAUUGUGGACGAUUUUUCAAGAUUUACUUGGGUUAUAUUUUUAAACUUAAAAGGAGAAGCCUUGAAAACUUUUAAACAUUUUUGUAAGAAAGUUGAAAAUGGAAAAGACUACUCUAUUACAACUAUUAGAAGUGACCAUGAUGAAGAAUUUGAUAAUGUUGGGUUUGAUGAUUUUUGUAAAGAACAUGGAUAUGAACGGCUCAUAGAACACUUCAACAAAAUGGUGUAGUAGAAAGGAAGAAUCGUACAUUACAAGAAAUGGCUCAAACUAUGUUAAAUGAAAAUAACUUGCCUAAAUAUUUUUGAGCCGAAGCUGUUAAUACCGCUUGAUACAUUAUCAAUAGAGUAUUAAUAAGCAAAAGGAAAACUAAAACUCUUUACGAACUUUAGAAAAACAAAAUUCCAAAUAUUAGUUAUUUCAACGUUUUUGGAUGUAAAUAUUUUAUUUUAAAUACAAAAGAUAAUUUGGGGAAAUUCGACUCCAAAUCCGAUAUAGAAAUUUUCUUUGGAUAUUCAUCGACUAGCAAAGCAUAUAGAGUUUUUAACAAACGAACUCUAGUUGUUGAAGAAUCCAUGCAUGUUGCCUUUGAUGAAACUAACUCAUUUGAUCGGGAGAAAGGUAGUGAUGACGAUGUAGGUUUGGAAGCUCCUUUCGAACAAAUGAACAUUCAAGACCAAAAUAAGGAGACUCCAAAUGAUCCAAUGCUCAAGAAAAUAAAGCAAGACAACCCGGAGAACAAAAUGAUCCCUCAUUACCAAAAGAAUGGAGGUUUGUUCCAGCUCAUCCCAAAGAGCUAAUAAUUGGCGAUCCAUCAAAAGAUAUCACCACUAGAACCUCUUACAAAAAUCAUUUUGGUAGUUGUGCAUUUAUUUCUCAAAUCGAAUCUAAGAAUUUCAAAGAAGAUGAGUUUGAUGAGUUAUGGAUUCUAGUAAUGCAAGAAGAAUUAAAUCAAUUUAAAAGAAACCAUGUUUGGGACUUAGUCGCUAGACCAAACAAUCAAACCGUUAUUGGAACAAAAUUGAUUUUUAUAAAUAAAAGAGAUGAAAAUGGAAUAAUUGUGCAUAAGAAGGCUAGAUUAGUGGCCCAAUGUUACAAUCAAGAAGAAGGUAUCGAUUUUGAAGAAAUAUUUACACCAGUAGCAAGAUUAGAAUCCAUCUGUAUGCUUCUUGCAUUUGCAUUAUUACAAAGAUUUUAGACUUUAUCAAAUGGAUGUUAAAAGUGCUUUUUUAAAUGGCUUCAUUCAAGAAGAUGUUUUCGUUGAGCAGCCUCCUGGUUUUAAAGAUCACAAGUAUCCGGAUCAUGUAUUUAAAUUUCAAAAAGCUCUUUACGGGUUGAAACAAGCUCCUAGAGUUUAGUACGAACGGUUGAACAAAUUUCUUCUCUCAAAUGAUUUUUCGAUUGGAAAAGCGGAUACUACACUUUUUAUAAAAACUCAUAAAAAUGAUAUGCUCAUUGUUCAAAUUUAUAUUGACGAUAUUAUUUUUUGUGCUACAAAUAUACAUCUUUGUGAAGAAUUUUUCAAAAUGUAUGAGUAAUGAAUUUGAAAUGAGCAUGAUGGGUGAGUUAAAAAAAUUUCUUGGCCUUCAAAUUAAACAAAUGAAAGAAUGAAUUUUCAUAAAUCAAAAUAAAUACAUAUUAGACAUACUUAAAAAAUUUGACAUGCAUGACAACAAGCCUAUGAACACACCAAUGAGCACAUCUCUAAAACUUGAUAAGGAUGAGCGAAGUACUUCUAUGGACGUCACAAAAUAUUGAGGUAUGAUCGGAUCCCUUCUAUAUUUAACUGCCAGUAGACCCGAUAUUAUGUUUAGUGUUUGCCUAUGUGCUCGCUUUCAAUCUAAUCCUAAGAAUCAUGCUUAAAGGCCGUAAAACGAAUUUUUCGUUAUCUAAGUGGUAUGAGUACUUUAGGACUUUAAUAUCCAAAAGGCACUCAUAUUGACUUAAUUAAUUAUUCGGAUGCCGAUUGGGACAGAUUUAAUGUUGAUCGUAAAAGCACAAGUGGAAACUGUCACUUUCUAGGCUUUGCACUUGUAUCUUGGUCUAGUAAGAAACAAAAUUCCAUUGCACUAUCCACCGCCGAGGCUGAAUAUAUCUCGGCCGCUAGUUGUUGUGCAAAAACACGUUGGAUGAAACAAACUCUAUGUGAUUAUCAUUUGUCUUACGUUCAUUUGCAUAUUCUAUGUGAUAAUACCAGUGCCAUAAAUUUGUCUAAAAAUCUCGUCUUGCAUUCACGAACUAAGCAUAUUGAGAUUCGACAUCAUUUUCUUCGUGAUCAUGUACAAAAAGGAGAUAUUAUAUUAGAAUUUAUAAAAAUCAAUUAUCAGUUGACCGAUAUCUUUACCAAACCUCUAGCAUAUGAACGUUUUUCAAUUAUUCGAAGAGGAUUGGGGAUUAUUGAUGAAAAUGAAGUAAACUUAGUUUAAGUUUCUUUCACUUAAGUUUUUUUUAAUUAUUUAUUAAUUUAAAAAAUUCAUCUGAACAAGCAAAAGUUGUCCAGACUAUACUGUCCGGAUUGGCAGAAACUGAAGGUUGCUGUCAUCCGGACCGUCGGUACAGUUUUUUUUAAAACACGGAUUCAUCCCUUUUUCAUCCAUUUCUUCAUCUUCCUCGCCCAAAAUAUCUAUGCAAAUUCACACACAAGCAGUUUCUUUGGUUGAAUCUUGUUCAUUUCACCUAUUAAUCGAAAAACCCGACCGAUUUACACCAUUUUUCACCCAAAAAUCGAAAAUAUAUCUUCCAAAAUCGGGUUUGAAUCUCAGCUCGAUUUCUUCUUCAAUCUUAGAAAUUUUCGUGCAAAUCCCACAUAAUAGCUCAAGCAUUUCAUACAGCAUUACUUUCCUCCUCUAAUAGCUUGAUUUUUCAGCAAAAUCAUCACUUUUGAGCGUGCCCUAGAAAUCACCCAAUUGGGAUUUUGUGAUUUUUUUAAAUUGUGGAAAUCUCACCCAUUUUUCUACUAUGUCGGGUUCUAGUCGUGGAAAACGGGGAAGAAAAAUUGUGCAAUGACCCCCUUCACCAUCGGAUGAGGAGAUGGAUUUGGAGCCGGAGGAGCCAUCCAACCCUUUUGAAAAAUCACUCAUUUUAAUCGGUAAGAAUGUUGAUUUUAUGGAUUUUACAAUUGAAGCUCCCGCUUUUCAUAUUGAAGAAUAUUUUGAACGUAUGGGAUGGAUAACCGUGCCCACGAUGGAAGAACGCGCUUAUCCACACCUUAUGAAAGAAUUUUAUCAAAACAUAAAUUUUAUGACACGUUCAAACGAAAUCCCUUGCUUUGUUAAAAACGUUCGCUUUACAAUUUCAAAAGCGUUAAUUCGUCAACUACUUAAUCUCGAGCCUUGUAACUUAGAAGUGUUUUUACAUAAGUCUCCACCAACCAUAGAAGGAUACGAUCCUUCUGAGGCAUGUCGUCGUGUUACGGGGAAAGACUUAGAAAAACAUCACAAAAAUUAGUGCACAUCAAUUAACACUUCCAUGCAAGGUGUUGCAAAAUAUCAUUGCUCACAUUAUUUUUCCCCGCAAAGGUCAUCGAGAUGAAGUCGAUCACUUCGAUCUCUUUAUUUUGGAUUCUCUACUAGUCAGACGUAAAAUUGAUUUUCCUACUAUUGCACUUGGCCUUAUGAAGCUUGUGCAUGCAUCACGACACACCAAAGCUUUACAUUCGGGAUGUUUCUCACAAAAUUUUUUAAGCAUUUUAAUGUUUCAUUGGACGGUGAAGAUUUUAUAAAAUUACGCCCUACCGAUACUAUUAACAUUCAGACCUUAAAACGGAUGAAAAUGGUAAAGGAACAUGGGCAAUGGGUGGCUCAUACGAAAGGGUGCAAUCCUACCUUCGGUCCAUCCACUCUCCCAUUUGAAGAGGAAGCUGAAUCAGAUGAAAAAGUACCUAAAGUUCCUGCUCCCGCAUCUGACAUUCCAGGCUCGAGUGUGCCUCCUCCUUCCCGAGAGCGUUCCACAUUUACCGAGGAGCAAUAUAAUCUCCUCCAUGGGUAGAUUGAUUCUCUUACUUCAUCGGUCGAUGACAUGGGUAGCCUACUUCUCCAGAUGCAGGCUCAGCAGAUAUCUAUCCAGGACCGAUAGCUCAAGAUGCAGCAGUGACAAGCUAAGAUGCAGGCUCAGCAAACUGCAUUUUUCACUGAGUUUUAUGCUAGAUUUCCUCCUCCGACCCCUUAGCUUACUUUCUUGCGUACUAUUAUUCUCAUGUUAUUUAUUAUCUGUUGCUCUUUUAUAUUUUGGAUGGUUGACUUCUUAAGUGAUAUUUUUAUGCUAUUCGACCUAUUACAUCUUUUUGCUUAUGCCAAAGGGGGAAGAUGAGCAGAUGAUUAUGCAACAUAAGAACAACAUAGUAAGGGGGGAAUGUUAUUAAAUGUUAUUUGCAUGUUGAUAAGGGAAAUGUUAUUAAAUGUUAUAUGCAUGUCGAUAGGAGGAAUAUUACUUGCAAUAUACAAAAUUAUGCUCCUGAUUAUUUGAUGCCAAUUCAAUUUGUUCAAUAUUUAUUUUGCAAAAAUCAUCUCGUUUGUCAUAAUCAGAAAGGGGAAAAUUGUUGACCUAAUGGUUCACUUCUUGUUUUGAUUAUUACAAACAAAUUGCGUUUGAUUCUAACAAAUUGAAUUUAAGUGAUUGAUAGUGAUUAUUGCAAAUUUAUGACACGAAAGAUUUAGAUCGGGAAUCAUGCAACCUUGGCGCAAAACGAUAUACACACAAGAUUUACGAACAAGGAAAUGGAAAACGAGCUUUCAC